RNAcentral lists this ribosomal RNA (658 nucleotides) under Monilobracon sp. NL785. RNAcentral's name for it is "eukaryotic LSU rRNA". It matches the Rfam family "Eukaryotic large subunit ribosomal RNA", at positions 386 to 798 of the family's 3401-position model. The record is from RNAcentral. Lineage: Eukaryota; Metazoa; Arthropoda; Insecta; Hymenoptera; Braconidae.
CCUGAGAAACCCAAAAGAUCGAAUGGGGAGAUUCAUCGUCAGCUCAUUUUAUAUAUAUGCAAGUUAUGAUAUGGGUUACUUUUACACCUUGUGUGUAUUAUGUAUUGCCUGUACAUUCUUGUGUAUUUAAUUGUAAGAUGUGGUCGGCGUGCACUUCUCCCCUAGUAGGACAUCGCGACCCGUUGAGUUUUGUUGGUCUACGGCCCAAGUGGAUGCUUUUAAUGAAUGUUUUCCAUAAUAUUUAUUGAAAACCCUUGGUGUCUCCUGACUGGCACUCGUCGGUAAUCGCACAUGGUAUUGAGCCGCAUAUAUUUUUUAUAUGCGUCCUAUCUGUCGCAAGCGAGGUAAUAAAAUAAAAUACUGAUAGUACGGACUUAGUGCCGUCCUUAAUUUUUCCUUUUUAAARRAAAAAAAAUACCCGUCAGCGAUGCUACUGCUUUGGGUACUUUCAGGACCCGUCUUGAAACACGGACCAAGGAGUCUAACAUGUACGCGAGUCAUUGGGAUUUUUAAAAAUUAAACCUAAAGGCGUAAUGAAAGUAAAGGUCGUCCCUGUGUCGAUUAARGGAGGAUGGGCUAUGGAUUAUAUAUUAUUAUAAUUAUAUAGCCUCGCACUCUCGGGGCGUCUCAUUCUCAUUGCGAGAAGAGGCGCACCUAG